This 253-nucleotide ribosomal RNA is filed under the name uncultured bacterium. Its description in RNAcentral is "partial 16S ribosomal RNA". It matches the Rfam family "Bacterial small subunit ribosomal RNA", at positions 524 to 776 of the family's 1533-position model. The record is from RNAcentral.
UACAGAGGGUGCAAGCGUUAAUCGGAAUUACUGGGCGUAAAGCGUGCGCAGUCGGUUAUUUAAGUCGGAUGUGAAAUCCCCGGGCUCAACCUGGGAAUUGCAUUCGAUACUGGAUGGCUAGAGUUCGGCAGAGGGAGGUGGAAUUUCAGGUGUAGCGGUGAAAUGCGUAGAUAUCUGAAGGAACAUCAGUGGCGAAAGCGACUUCCUGGACCAGAACUGACGAUCAGGCACGAAAGCGUGGGGAGCAAACAGG